This is a long non-coding RNA of Oryzias melastigma (Indian medaka), 1129 nucleotides long. RefSeq lists it as uncharacterized. The transcript has 5 exons. The record is from RefSeq and is a predicted model, not a curated record. Lineage: Eukaryota; Metazoa; Chordata; Actinopteri; Beloniformes; Adrianichthyidae.
AAAAAAAAAAAAAAAAAAAACAUGGCAGAGCCUCCUGAUCAGAAACAAGGUGUAAGUAUCUGUGAGCUGACAGUUUAUUUUAUGAUGAACAGUAGAGACUUACAUGCAUGAGUGGAACGUGCUCUGUUUUAUAAUCCGCAUUUAAAAAUUAAAAAUUCUAUGCAGUUCCCUUAAAAUAAAUAAAUAAAUAAAUAUCAAGAGACUGAAUGUUUUUCAACAAUAUGUGUUCUGCCCCUGUGUUAGUUCAGUUUGUCUUCCUCUGAAUUGAAGCAACAUUUAGUUGGUCCUUUUAUUUUGAAUUUUUUUUUUUUUUCAGGAAGUCUGUGUCAGCCAUAUUAGUUAUUCAUUUGUCCACGUGAUCUCAUCACCUGUUGAAAUUCUCUUCCAUCCUCCUCUUGUUUGCAUCACCGACUCCAUUGUCUGCAAGAGAUGCUACGAGCGAGUCGAUGAUCAGAGUGAAGAUGACAAAAAAAAGUGGUUCCACUCAACGGAGGUAAGCAGGUAAAGGAGAUUCAGAUCAAAGUAACUCUUGGACCAUCUCAGUGUGUCUAGAAGGCAAGAUACAUAAGCUAGUGGAAAAUCCUUUGAGAGCACCGACCAAUUCAUCAGUUUCUCUGCAGAUUCAGGAGCCAAACAAGAUAUCAGCCCCCUCCUUUCCACCGGCAGGGAGUAGCAACACUGGGCUAAGGAAAUCGAAUCAAGAAUAAAGACAAAAGGUAAACAAAAUGCUUGCCUCCCAGACGACUCCACCUCUACCGUAAACAACUAAUCCCAUGAUUCUCUUUGUUCUUUAAUCCCAUCAGCCACUGAGGCACUGCAAACCUUUCUGGAUGAAGAUAAUGGCACCCCGCUGCGUGUCUUGAUGAAGUUCAGAACCUUAUUAAACAGCAUUUUCUCGCAUGAUCCAGCAAUCAUGAAUAUCUGAUUUUUUUUUUUUUUUCCAGUCUAAACAACAAGAAGGACUUCUGCUCUCAUUAAACUUUUAGCCGUAACACAGAAAAAUGCAUUAAGUAUGAAUCUCUUUUUACUUGAAGGAACCUUUCAAAGUAAAACAACCUUUGCCCUGAACGUUUCCUGAACAUUUUAUCAUUUGAAGGGAGAUGUGUGACUGCUAUUGCCGUCUGUAUGA